This 253-nucleotide ribosomal RNA is filed under the name uncultured bacterium. Its description in RNAcentral is "partial 16S ribosomal RNA". It matches the Rfam family "Bacterial small subunit ribosomal RNA", at positions 524 to 776 of the family's 1533-position model. The record is from RNAcentral. RNAcentral also lists the same sequence under 1 other name.
UACAGAGGCCACAAGCGUUAGACGGAAUCACUGGGCUUAAAGCGUGUGUAGGCGGGAUGGUAAGUACCUUGUGAAAUCCCACAGCUUAACUGUGGAAAUGCUUGGUAUACUGCCGUUCUUGAGUCACCUAGGGGCAGCUGGAACAGAUGGUGGAGCGGUGAAAUGCAUAGAUAUCAUCUGGAACGCCAAUGGUGCAGACAAGCUGCUGGGGGUGUACUGACGCUGAGGCACGAAAGCCAGGGGAGCAAACGGG